CCAUAGCUCAGUCGGUAGAACGCAUGACUGUUAAUCAUGAUGUCACUGGUUCGAGCCCAGUUGG
Molecule: transfer RNA, 64 nt
Filed under: Eubacterium sp. CAG:251
Lineage: Bacteria; Bacillati; Bacillota; Clostridia; Eubacteriales; Eubacteriaceae
Description: transfer RNA-Asn(GTT)
Rfam family: tRNA
About the family: Transfer RNA (tRNA) molecules are approximately 80 nucleotides in length. Their secondary structure includes four short double-helical elements and three loops (D, anti-codon, and T loops).
Source: RNAcentral